GACGAACGCUGGCGGCGUGCCUAACACAUGCAAGUCGAGCGAAGUACUUAUCAAUAAGCCUUCGGGCAGAUUGAUAAGCUACUUAGCGGCGGAUGGGUGAGUAACGCGUGAGGAACCUGCCUUCCACAAGGGGAUAGCCUCGGGAAACCGGGAUUAAUACCCUAUGACACUUAAAGGUCCCAUGACUUUUAAGUUAAAGCGUUAGCGGUGGAAGAUGGCCUCGCGUCCCAUUAGCUAGUUGGUGAGGUAACGGCUCACCAAGGCCACGAUGGGUAGCCGGCUUGAGAGAGUGACCGGCCACACUGGAACUGAGACACGGUCCAGACUCCUACGGGAGGCAGCAGUGGGGAAUAUUGCACAAUGGAGGGAACUCUGAUGCAGCGACGCCGCGUGAGCGAUGAAGGCCUUCGGGUCGUAAAGCUCUGUCCUAUGGGACGAUAAUGACGGUACCAUAGGAGGAAGCCCGGCUAACUACGUGCCAGCAGCCGCGGUAAAAGUACUCUA
Molecule: ribosomal RNA, 504 nt
Filed under: uncultured bacterium
Lineage: Bacteria
Description: bacterial SSU rRNA
Rfam family: Bacterial small subunit ribosomal RNA
Source: RNAcentral